GCACCCCCCAGCGCAGGAGCGCAGGUGGGCUGCUCCUCGGGCAGUGGCCUACGGGGCGUGGGCGCUGCUGGUUCCCGCCACGCCCCGGGGGACCCCAAUCUGCGCCCCCGGCCUACCCUCUCGGCGGUCUUCGAAAAGGUCUAAAACUCCGACUGACCGUUACAACCAAUCUCGGUCUUUCUCCCCUCCCCAGAAGAUGCAACUUUACAUAUUGUUCUGCAACUUGCUUUUUCCUCUGGCUCUUUGAGAACCCUCCUCCUUAAAACCUUUGCAUAUGCUGUCCUGUCUACCUAGAAAAUCCCCGUCGCAAGCCCUCAUUUCCAGUCUUACGGACACUGAUCUUUCCCGCCGCUACAGGCUGACGUCAGUCAGGUCAGAUACUCUGACCCUGGUGAUAGCUUCUGCUCAUUGGUGUUUUGCCAUUACAAUCUAGGCAGAAAGAAUUCUUCUGCAAGCGUUUAAUUUUGUAUCUUCAUUACUC
Molecule: long non-coding RNA, 481 nt
Organism: Ailuropoda melanoleuca (giant panda)
Lineage: Eukaryota; Metazoa; Chordata; Mammalia; Carnivora; Ursidae
Exons: 4
Source: RefSeq, a predicted model, not a curated record